This 253-nucleotide ribosomal RNA is filed under the name uncultured bacterium. RNAcentral describes it as "partial 16S ribosomal RNA". It matches the Rfam family "Bacterial small subunit ribosomal RNA", at positions 524 to 776 of the family's 1533-position model. The record is from RNAcentral.
UACGGGGGGUGCGAGCGUUGUCCGGAAUCACUGGGCGUAAAGGGCGCGUAGGUGGCGUGAUAAGGGUGUGGUGAAAGCCCGGGGCUCAACCCCGGGCCCGCCAUGCCGACUGUCAGGCUAGAGUACUGUAGGGGCAGGCGGAAUUCCGGGUGUAGCGGUGGAAUGCGUAGAGAUCCGGAGGAAGACCGGUGGCGAAGGCGGCCUGCUGGGCAGUUACUGACACUGAGGCGCGACAGCGUGGGGAGCAAACAGG